This 253-nucleotide ribosomal RNA is filed under the name uncultured bacterium. RNAcentral's name for it is "partial 16S ribosomal RNA". It matches the Rfam family "Bacterial small subunit ribosomal RNA", at positions 524 to 776 of the family's 1533-position model. The record is from RNAcentral.
UACAGAGGUCCCGAGCGUUGCUCGGAUUUAUUGGGCGUAAAGGGUGCGUAGGCGGCGGAGUAAGUUGGGUGUGAAAUCCCGGGGCUCAACCUCGGAAUUGCAUUCAAUACUGCUUCGCUCGAGUACUGGAGAGGAGGCUGGAAUUUACGGUGUAGCAGUGAAAUGCGUAGAUAUCGUAAGGAAGGCCGGUGGCGAAAGCGAGCCUCUGGACAGUUACUGACGCUGAUGCACGAAGGCCAGGGGAGCAAACGGG